AAUUAUUGUAUAUAUAUAUAUCAAAGAUAGAUCCAAUGUAAAAAGAAUUUUCAUUUGCAUAGCUCAAAUCCAUUUUUUCUUUUCUUCAGAGAUUUCCAUGGAGAUAGAGCAGAGAAAGAUCAUGAAUAGGGAAGAAGUUGAUACCGAAGAGAACGAUAAUCAACUGCCACUACAAGAAGAAGAACAAGAAACAGAGGAAGAAAUGUCUGGGAGGACGAUCGAACCGUGGACGAAGAUUCAGGAGCCUCGAUUUCGGCGAGAGAAACGGUUACCUCAAGGGCGUCGUCACAGAGAUCAUCCACGAUCCAGGACGCGGAGCUCCGUUGGCUCGCGUCGCGUUCCGUCAUCCUUUCCGUUACAAGAAGCAGAAGGAGCUCUUCGUCGCCGCCGAGGGUAUGUACACGGGGCAGUUUCUGUACUGCGGUAAGAAAGCAACUCUCGUCGUCGGAAAUGUGCCAUUCACAAGACAAGAGAACACAAUGAUUCAGACAUCUGCUGUUGCUUGUUACGGCAUCGCCGUCGGAGGUUAAGAACAUAACUUUCUUCUCUCUCCUUUUUUGCUGUUUCUUUUUGUUUCCUUGUGAAACAAGCAAAGAUUUAAUGAAUGAAUUGUAAAACAGUUCCAAACCUCUUAAAAAUAUAACUUUUAUGAUAAACUUUUGAGUUUGGUAAGUCACAACAAAAGGGUUGAUAUUGCUUUUACUUUGGGGAGUGUAUAUAAUAUAUAAUCAACUUGUAGAAUUUUCGAUUUAAAGUGUUUUUGAGCAACUAAUUUAAAAAUUUUUUAUUGUGUUUUUUUUUCAGGUGGGUUUGCUUCAUAUCUUCUGGGGUUAAACCAUAAGACAUAUGUGUUAUCUGGUCCAAACAUGGAAGGUAACUCUGAGAAGAGUGUGAAAGAACCAGGCCUUGGUUGGAUGACUGCUUAUCUCUUUGCAGUGUGUUUCAUCGGUCUUUUCGUCUUAAUCCCUCUCCGUAAGGUUAUGAUUAUUGACCUUAAGCUAACAUAUCCGAGUGGUCUAGCUACUGCUGUACUCAUCAACGGCUUCCACACACAAGGAGAUGCACAAGCCAAGUAAGUUAGUUAACCUUUUUUGUUUUGCUAAAACACAGUAAGUUAGUUAACCUACUUUGCAAAAAAACGAUUACUUUAAGUUUCCUAAUCUUUAAAAUGAAAUUGAUUUGCAGGAAACAAGUGCGUGGCUUCAUGAAAUACUUCUCAUUUAGUUUCUUGUGGGGAUUUUUCCAGUGGUUUUUCUCUGGCAUAGAAGGUUGUGGGUUUGCUCAGUUCCCAACCUUAGGUUUGAAAGCUUGGAAACAAACGUAAGCAUCAAUAAUAUAUACUGAAAAAGACAUUUUCUCAUAUGGAUUCUGUCGAGAUUAAUGGUUAAGUAAACUUAAAAAAAUCUUCCUCUUUUCAGGUUCUUCUUCGAUUUUAGCAUGACAUUUGUAGAGCAGGAAUGAUAUGUUCACAUAUGGUUAACCUUUCUUUGCUUUUAGGAGCUAUUCUCUCUUACGGCUUAAUGUGGCCUCUUCUUGAUAAACUAAAAGGCUCUUGGUUCCCUGAUAAUCUCGACGAGCACAACAUGAAGAGCAUAUACGGUUACAAAGUCUUCUUAUCCGUAGCUCUAAUCCUCGGCGAUGGUCUCUACACUUUCGUUAAGAUCCUCUAUGUCACCAUUGUCAGUAUCAACGCAAGAGUGAAGAACAAACCUAAUGAUCUUGAUUCCGUGGGAGACAAGAAACAACAUAAGUUUCGCAAGGAAGAUGAGAACUUCCUAAGAGAUAAAAUCCCCAUGUGGAUAGGAAUCUCUGGAUAUCUUAUCUUCGCCGCGGUCUCAACCAUCGUGGUCCCUCUGAUAUUCCCACAGCUCAAAUGGUACUACGUUAUCGUAGCUUACAUUUUCGCACCGUGUCUUGCUUUCUGUAACGCCUACGGAGCUGGACUUACGGACAUUAACAUGGCUUAUAACUACGGUAAGAUCGGUCUGUUUGUUCUCGCGGCGGUGACGGGAAGAGAGAACGGAGUUGUGGCCGGACUAGCCGGAUGUGGUUUGAUCAAAUCGGUAGUUUCGGUUUCUUGUAUCUUGAUGCAAGAUUUCAAGACGGCUCAUUACACGAUGACGUCACCUAAGGCUAUGUUCGCUAGCCAGAUGAUCGGGACGGUCGUUGGAUGCAUCGUGACGCCGUUAAGUUUCUUCUUGUUCUACAGAGCGUUCGACGUCGGAAACCCUAACGGCGAGUUUAAGGCUCCUUACGCUUUGAUAUACAGGAACAUGGCGAUACUUGGGGUGCAAGGCUUCUCUGCUCUGCCUCUUCAUUGUCUCCAAAUGUGUUAUGGGUUUUUUGGGUUUGCGGUUUUGGUCAACGUGGUGAGGGAUCUUACUCCGGAGAAGGUGGGGAGGUUCAUGCCGCUUCCGACGGCCAUGGCGGUUCCGUUUCUGGUCGGAGCGUAUUUUGCGAUUGAUAUGUGUGUUGGGACUUUGGUUGUGUUUAUUUGGGAGAAGAGGAAUAGGAGGAAAGCAGAGGUUAUGGUUCCGGCGGUCGCGUCGGGGCUGAUCUGCGGGGAAGGGCUUUGGACUUUACCUGCGGCUGUACUUGCACUGGCUGGUGUAAAACCUCCGAUAUGUAUGAAGUUUUUAGCUUCUUAGGAUCGGUCAAAAGAGGAAAAAAAAAAAAAAGACUUGUGAAGUUAUUAACUGAGUUGUGAAGUUAGAAGAAGCAAAUGAUAUUAUAAUCAUUCUGUUCUUUGAAUAAUAAGAAGACUUGCCAACAAAAACAUCUUGUUUUUUUUUCUUUCUUUUUCUUGUUUCGUAGGAAUCAGUGGCGGAUCUAGAAAGUUUUAUAAUGUUGGCUCUACAUCCGCCACUGGUAGGAAUUAGAGUAAAAUCUACUUGCAUGAAAUUGUGAUCUAAUCAAAGUAAUAAUUUUCACUCUGUUAGCAUCUCAGGGUGAGAAAAUUAUCUGGAAUAUGAAUUUUGAUAUGUUAUCACUAAUUCGAUUAUUAAUAUAAACAAUGUUUGGAUUUGAAUCGAGAUGUUGAAACUUAUGAAUUUAAAUACAUUUUUUUUUUUGAUGAAUAUACGGAACUGAGAUGAUAUAUUGCAAAAUGAUUAGGUAUUUUAGUUUCAGACAAAUCUAGUUAUAAUAGGAUUUAAUAAAUCUAGAAGCUUAAAAUUUUGAUGCAUCAUUAGAAAAGCUAAAAACUUCCUUUCCUAAAAAACGAUUUAGAUUUAAUUUUCUUUGUCUCUUCAAUUUAGUAAAGGACAUGAGAAACUGAUGGAAAUUUUUUGAUCUCAAAUUAAAAAUAUUUAACUUGGUUUGAUUCAGAAAAUAGUGGAGAUAUUUUUAGGUUAAAAUGCUAAAACCUAGCAUGGUCUACUUCUUGAUUUUUGAUGGGGUUUGAGUUUGACUCAUCCAAGGUAACAAAAAAACUCCAAGGUCUUUUAGUUUAGGCUUUAAAAAGGCUUAUAUUAGGCCCAUUUAAGAUAACCCCAUCUUAUCCCACUAGGGCUUUGCAAGACAUUUCCACAUAUAAAACCUCAUUUCCUCCUCGUCACAGAUCUCGAACCCUUACUUCCUUCCUCCCGCCGUAAACUCUCAGGAACACCACCCUCCUUCCACCAUGGGUCGUGUCAUCAGAGCUCAACGUAAGGGAGCGGGUUCCGUCUUCAAGUCCCACACUCACCACCGCAAGGGCCCCGCCAAAUUCAGGAGCCUCGAUUUCGGCGAGAGAAACGGUUACCUCAAGGGCGUCGUCACAGAGAUCAUCCACGAUCCAGGACGCGGAGCUCCGUUGGCUCGCGUCGCGUUCCGUCAUCCUUUCCGUUACAAGAAGCAGAAGGAGCUCUUCGUCGCCGCCGAGGGUAU
This 3867-nucleotide long non-coding RNA is filed under the name Brassica napus (rape). RNAcentral describes it as "long non-coding RNA (BNAP_LNC023571)". The record is from RNAcentral. Lineage: Eukaryota; Viridiplantae; Streptophyta; Magnoliopsida; Brassicales; Brassicaceae.